AACGAACGCUGGCGGCAUGCCUAACACAUGCAAGUCGAACGAGACCUUCGGGUCUAGUGGCGCACGGGUGCGUAACGCGUGGGAACCUGCCCUUAGGUUCGGAAUAACUCCCCGAAAGGGGUGCUAAUACCGGAUAAUGUCUUCGGACCAAAGAUUUAUCGCCUUUGGAUGGGCCCGCGUUGGAUUAGCUAGUUGGUAGGGUAAAAGCCUACCAAGGCGACGAUCCAUAGCUGGUCUGAGAGGAUGAUCAGCCACACUGGGACUGAGACACGGCCCAGACCCCGCCGGGAGGCAGCAGGGGGGAAUAUGGGAAAAUGGGCGAAAGCCUGAUCCAGCAAGGCCGGGGGGGUGAUGAAGGCCUUAGGGUUGUAAAGCUCUUUUACCCGGGAUGAUAAUGACAGGACCGGGAAAAUAAGCCCCGGCUAACUCCGU
This 432-nucleotide ribosomal RNA is filed under the name uncultured bacterium. Its description in RNAcentral is "partial 16S ribosomal RNA". It matches the Rfam family "Bacterial small subunit ribosomal RNA", at positions 29 to 506 of the family's 1533-position model. The record is from RNAcentral.